Molecule: ribosomal RNA, 468 nt
Filed under: uncultured bacterium
Lineage: Bacteria
Description: partial 16S ribosomal RNA
Rfam family: Bacterial small subunit ribosomal RNA
Source: RNAcentral
GACGAGCGCUGGCGGCGUGCUUAACACAUGCAAGUCGAACGGAAAGGCCCUGCUUUUGUGGGGUGCUCGAGUGGCGAACGGGUGAGUAACACGUGAGUAACCUGCCCUUGACUUUGGGAUAACUUCAGGAAACUGGGGCUAAUACCGGAUAGGAGCUCCUGCUGCAUGGCGGGGGUUGGAAAGUUUCGGCGGUUGGGGAUGGACUCGCGGCUUAUCAGCUUGUUGGUGGGGUAGUGGCUUACCAAGGCUUUGACGGGUAGCCGGCCUGAGAGGGUGACCGGCCACAUUGGGACUGAGAUACGGCCCAGACUCCUACGGGAGGCAGCAGUGGGGAAUAUUGCACAAUGGGCGGAAGCCUGAUGCAGCAACGCCGCGUGCGGGAUGACGGCCUUCGGGUUGUAAACCGCUUUCGCCUGUGACGAAGCGUGAGUGACGGUAAUGGGUAAAGAAGCACCGGCUAACUACGUG